AGCUAACACUAUACAAUCAUAUUUGAUGAAUAUUGAUACCAUUGAAAUUUAAAAUAUGAUUUGACGAUAGUUCAUUAGAUUAAUAUCAUCACAUCUAAAUAAGUGUUUGGUUUAGCUUGUAGAACUGUCACUUUUCAGGAUCAAUGAAUGAACAAAGACAACAGUAGUAUGCCGCUGUUCAAUAGCCAUGAAGUUGAAAUAAGCUGACUUUAAAGAAGACUAAAUGUUUAAGUUCAAUAUUUUAAUUUAAGCUAACAUUAUACAAUUAUAACACUUUUAACCACGAAUAUGUUCGUAACCCAAAUCAUAUUUUCUUAACCUCGAUUGUAGCAUCACUAAAUGAGACUCAUCACCGAAUUUGUAAAUGCCUAGAACAACACGACAGAUGUCACAUGUAGAAGACAGGAUCUGCUUGUCAUUCACGAGCACCUGAGAUCCGAUCCUUGUUUUUUUAGGACAAUGUCACUUCCGGUUUUUUGCUAUUGCGGUAUAAGUUGCUUUUCUACUUGUAAGCUUUUGGAUUACUUUUUGUAUCUCCCGUCAAUUUCUUUAAGGCAAAUGCAUGUUUUAUUGCUCCGAAUAUAUUGAUCAAGGACGCACGUAAAAAGGCUGCAAUUGUAUCAUUAUACUAUUAUAUUAUUCUAUGCACUGUAUUUUAUCGUCCUAGAGGUCAAUUUGAAAAUAAGAUGUGGUUUAAUUGUCCAUUGCUAUACGACAACUCUCCACCGGUGACAGAGUGACAUAUUUGCACAUUUUCCCCUUGUUAAAUGCAUGUUAAAACAUUGUUGUGACGUCAUUCCAUUGUUCUACCUGUUGUU
This 818-nucleotide long non-coding RNA is filed under the name Mytilus galloprovincialis (Mediterranean mussel). The record is from RNAcentral. Lineage: Eukaryota; Metazoa; Mollusca; Bivalvia; Mytilida; Mytilidae.